UACACUCCUGCGGGAGGCAGCAGUGGGGAAUAUUGCACAAUGGGCGCAAGCCUGAUGCAGCCAUGCCGCGUGUAUGAAGAAGGCCUUCGGGUUGUAAAGUACUUUCAGCGGGGAGGAAGGCAAUACGGUUAAUAACCGUGUUGAUUGACGUUACCCGCAGAAGAAGCACCGGCUAACUCCGUGCCAGCAGCCGCGGUAAUACGGAGGGUGCAAGCGUUAAUCGGAAUUACUGGGCGUAAAGCGCACGCAGGCGGUCUGUCAAGUCGGAUGUGAAAUCCCCGGGCUCAACCUGGGAACUGCAUUCGAAACUGGCAGGCUUGAGUCUUGUAGAGGGGGGUAGAAUUCCAGGUGUAGCGGUGAAAUGCGUAGAGAUCUGGAGGAAUACCGGUGGCGAAGGCGGCCCCCUGGACAAAGACUGACGCUCAGGUGCGAAAGCGUGGGGAGCAAACAGGAUUAGAAACCCGUGUAGUCCCA
This 474-nucleotide ribosomal RNA is filed under the name uncultured organism. Its description in RNAcentral is "partial 16S ribosomal RNA". It matches the Rfam family "Bacterial small subunit ribosomal RNA", at positions 332 to 797 of the family's 1533-position model. The record is from RNAcentral.